This 690-nucleotide ribosomal RNA is filed under the name uncultured bacterium. RNAcentral's name for it is "bacterial SSU rRNA". It matches the Rfam family "Bacterial small subunit ribosomal RNA", at positions 805 to 1501 of the family's 1533-position model. The record is from RNAcentral.
AACGAUGAUUACUAGGUGUUGGAGGAUUGACCCCUUCAGUGCCGCAGUUAACACAAUAAGUAAUCCACCUGGGGAGUACGACCGCAGGGUUGAAACUCAAAGGAAUUGACGGGGGCCCGCACAAGCAGUGGAGUAUGUGGUUUAAUUCGAAGCAACGCGAAGAACCUUACCAGGUCUUGACAUCCGAUGCAUAGCACAGAGAUGUGUGAAGUCCUUCGGGACAUCGAGACAGGUGGUGCAUGGUUGUCGUCAGCUCGUGUCGUGAGAUGUUGGGUUAAGUCCCGCAACGAGCGCAACCCUUAUUGCCAGUUACUACGCAAGAGGACUCUGGCGAGACUGCCGUUGACAAAACGGAGGAAGGUGGGGAUGACGUCAAAUCAUCAUGCCCUUUAUGACCUGGGCUACACACGUACUACAAUGGCGUUUAACAAAGAGAAGCAAUACCGCGAGGUGGAGCAAAACUCAAAAACAACGUCUCAGUUCAGAUUGCAGGCUGCAACUCGCCUGCAUGAAGUCGGAAUUGCUAGUAAUCGCGGAUCAGCAUGCCGCGGUGAAUACGUUCCCGGGCCUUGUACACACCGCCCGUCACACCAUGAGAGCCGGGGGGACCCGAAGUCCGUAGUCUAACCGCAAGGAGGACGCGGCCGAAGGUAAAACUGGUGAUUGGGGUGAAGUCGUAACAAGGUAACC